Non-coding RNA from Schistosoma rodhaini, 48 nucleotides. The record is from Rfam. NCBI's taxonomy places the organism in Eukaryota, Metazoa, Platyhelminthes, Trematoda, Strigeidida, Schistosomatidae.
AUCCAGCUGACGAGUCCUAAUUAGAACGAAGUGGCGCACGUUCUGGAU